CAACUUCCACCUGGCUUACCUCCNUCAGUUAUGCGUCAUGACUUGUAUCGUCUUGAGCGUAUUGUGGGUUUCCUGUGUUGCAUACCUAAUAAUGGAAUCGUUUUGGUUGAUUGAAGUCCCUUUUCAUCACGUGUUGCCUUUGCGAUGCAUGAUGAACCUCGAAGCGGUCUCUAUGUUCCACCACGUUGAUGCUAGUGUCUUGAUGUUGUGGCCCAUUGAGUGUUGCUUGGUUUUGUGGAUACAGAACAUGAUUUGGGCAUAGGGUCACCUGUGACUCUUGUUUUGUCCUUUAUCAGUGUUCUCUAUAACGACGGUUCAUGCGCGCCUAGGCUCGUACCUGCGCGAUGUUCUUUGUCGAAGAGGAAUGCUACCUGGUUGAUCCUGCCAGUAGUCAUAUGCUUGUCUCAAAGAUUAAGCCAUGCAUGUGUAAGU
This 432-nucleotide unclassified non-coding RNA is filed under the name Senecio odoratus. RNAcentral's name for it is "partial contains external transcribed spacer and 18S ribosomal RNA". The stretch from base 369 to 432 matches the Rfam family "Eukaryotic small subunit ribosomal RNA", at positions 1 to 64 of the family's 1831-position model. Lineage: Eukaryota; Viridiplantae; Streptophyta; Magnoliopsida; Asterales; Asteraceae. The record is from RNAcentral.